Molecule: ribosomal RNA, 253 nt
Filed under: uncultured bacterium
Lineage: Bacteria
Description: partial 16S ribosomal RNA
Rfam family: Bacterial small subunit ribosomal RNA
Source: RNAcentral
UACGGAGGGGGCUAGCGUUGUUCGGAAUUACUGGGCGUAAAGCGCACGUAGGCGGCUUUGCAAGUUAGAGGUGAAAGCCCGGGGCUCAACCUCGGAACGGCAUUCGAUACGGGACGGCUGGAGACCGGGAGAGGAGAGUGGAAUAGCCAGUGUAGAGGUGAAAUUCGUAGAUAUUGGCUGGAACACCGGUGGCGAAAGCGGCUCUCUGGCCCGGUUCUGACGCUGAGGCGCGAAAGCGUGGGGAGCAAACAGG